This 439-nucleotide ribosomal RNA is filed under the name uncultured bacterium. Its description in RNAcentral is "bacterial SSU rRNA". It matches the Rfam family "Bacterial small subunit ribosomal RNA", at positions 954 to 1392 of the family's 1533-position model. The record is from RNAcentral.
AUGGGAACGCGAAGAACCUUACCUACUCUUGACAUCCAGAGAACUUAGCAGAGAUGCUUUGGUGCCUUCGGGAACUCUGAGACAGGUGCUGCAUGGCUGCCGUCAGCUCGUGUUGUGAAAUGUUGGGUUAAGUCCCGCAACGAGCGCAACCCUUAUCCUUUGUUGCCAGCGGUUCGGCCGGGAACUCAAAGGAGACUGCCAGUGAUAAACUGGAGGAAGGUGGGGAUGACGUCAAGUCAUCAUGGCCCUUACGAGUAGGGCUACACACGUGCUACAAUGGCGCAUACAAAGAGAAGCGACCUCGCGAGAGCAAGCGGACCUCAUAAAGUGCGUCGUAGUCCGGAUUGGAGUCUGCAACUCGACUCCAUGAAGUCGGAAUCGCUAGUAAUCGUAGAUCAGAAUGCUACGGUGAAUACGUUCCCGGGUCUUGUACACACCG